Molecule: transfer RNA, 58 nt
Filed under: Lachnospiraceae bacterium
Lineage: Bacteria; Bacillati; Bacillota; Clostridia; Lachnospirales; Lachnospiraceae
Description: tRNA-Lys
Rfam family: tRNA
About the family: Transfer RNA (tRNA) molecules are approximately 80 nucleotides in length.
Source: RNAcentral
GCGCGAUUAGCUCAGUUGGUAGAGCACCUGACUCUUAAUCAGGGUGUCCAGGGUUCGA